Potamilus streckersoni is the source of this 72-nucleotide non-coding RNA. Lineage: Eukaryota; Metazoa; Mollusca; Bivalvia; Unionida; Unionidae. The record is from the annotation of a GenBank genome assembly.
GCUCCAGUGGCCUAGUGGUUAGAGCAUCCGCCUCGGAUGUGGGAGGUUGUUAGUUUGAACUCCAGCCGAGUC